This is a long non-coding RNA of Gavialis gangeticus (Gharial), 1013 nucleotides long. RefSeq lists it as uncharacterized. The record is from RefSeq and is a predicted model, not a curated record. The transcript is spliced from 2 exons. Lineage: Eukaryota; Metazoa; Chordata; Crocodylia; Gavialidae.
CCACAGUCUGCUGACCAUCUGAUAAAGGGUGAAUCUGAAUUUCUUCAGCUAGCUGAGACAAAGAGAGAGUGGAGAUGGAGUCCCUUCUACGUCUUUCCUUGCUUAGCUUGGCGAGUGGCAGGAUUUCUCCAGAAAGAUUUGUGAGUUUCACUCUGAGGUAGUAGCCCACUGUGUCUGCUGAGAUUAUCAGACAGAGCAAGAUUUGAUCUGAGUAAAAUCAGCAUGCUCUGUGGACAAGAGACAUGAUUCCUUUGGAACAGCAAUGCUGAUGAGCAACCUGUUCUUCCUACCAAAAAGAACAGGGAUGGAUAUCUUCUAAAUUGGAAGCAAGUGCAUUGACUCUCAGGUCAGGCCAAGCAAAGAUAAAAGGUGGAACAUGCUUCUUUUGCCAACUCCCAAGGAAACUCCAUUAUUCUUUAAAGGUCAUGUGACUGUGAAAAAGCCAAUCUGGGCAGAGAGAGGCAGCCCACAAGGACAAGCUCAGUAUGAGCAGAAAAUGAAGUUGUUACCAGACAGCAAACUGCAGCCCUCGAUUCUUAUGAAUAUUUGAAUGAGUAACUAAAAACAGCUCAGUGAACUCUAAGCAACUGUGACAGCUGAAACUGCCUGGGAAACUAGCAGUCUACAAGGACCGUGAUGAAAAGAUCACCAAUCACAUUUCAACCAACGUUGCCAUGAGUAUAUUGUAAAACAUUAUCAGAUCCAUUGUCUUCAAAUAUUAGUUGAAAAAAAACCUGUUCUCCACCACAAAUUUUUGUGGUAUGGUACCCACAGAACCUUUCAUGAUAUUUUUAAAUGCAUUAAAAUGCAAUGAUUUCUAAAAUCUAGUCAAGGCAAGAGAAUAGGCACAUUUUCUAGACAUUGAAAUAUUGAUGUUGCUGUUGCUUAUACUCAUAGAAAAUUGGCCCUAGUGAAUCUUUCAUGAAUAUCUUUCAGCUAGUUCCACGUGGAAAGAAAGAUGAUGAGAGCAGUUUCCCUGAAGCUAAAAUGUUCUGAAUAAUCUUUAAAAAAAA